UACAGAGGGUGCGAGCGUUAAUCGGAAUUACUGGGCGUAAAGCGCACGUAGGCGGCUUGGUAUGUCGGGUGUGAAAUCCCCGGGCUCAACCUGGGAACUGCAUCCGAAACUGCUGAGCUUGAGUACGAAAGAGGAUCGCGGAAUUCCCGGUGUAGAGGUGAAAUUCGUAGAUAUCGGGAGGAACACCAGUGGCGAAGGCGGCGAUCUGGGUCGAUACUGACGCUGAGGUGCGAAAGCGUGGGGAGCAAACAGG
Molecule: ribosomal RNA, 253 nt
Filed under: uncultured bacterium
Lineage: Bacteria
Description: partial 16S ribosomal RNA
Rfam family: Bacterial small subunit ribosomal RNA
Source: RNAcentral